GUCAUCCUACGGGACGCAGCAGUCGGGAAUAUUGCGCAAUGGAGGAAACUCUGACGCAGUGACGCCGCGUAUAGGAAGAAGGUUUUCGGAUUGUAAACUAUUGUCGUUAGGGAAGAUAAAAGACAGUACCUAAGGAGGAAGCUCCGGCUAACUACGUGCCAGCAGCCGCGGUAAUACGUAGGGAGCGAGCGUUGUCCGGAAUUACUGGGUGUAAAGGGAGCGUAGGCGGGACGGCAAGUCAGAUGUGA
Molecule: ribosomal RNA, 248 nt
Filed under: uncultured bacterium
Lineage: Bacteria
Description: partial 16S ribosomal RNA
Rfam family: Bacterial small subunit ribosomal RNA
Source: RNAcentral